AGUGAACGCUGGCGGUAGGCCUAACACAUGCAAGUCGAACGGCAGCACAGUAAGAGCUUGCUCUUACGGGUGGCGAGUGGCGGACGGGUGAGGAAUACAUCGGAAUCUACUUUUUCGUGGGGGAUAACGUAGGGAAACUUACGCUAAUACCGCAGACGACCUACGGGUGAAAGCAGGGGAUCUUCGGACCUUGCGCGAUUGAAUGAGCCGAUGUCGGAUUAGCUAGUUGGCGGGGUAAAGGCCCACCAAGGCGACGAUCCGUAGCUGGUCUGAGAGGAUGAUCAGCAACACUGGAACUGAGACACGGUCCAGACUCCUACGGGAGGCAGCGGUGGGGAAUAUUGGACAAUGGGCGCAAGCCUGAUCCAGCCAUACCGCGUGGGUGAAGAAGGCCUUCGGGUUGUAAAGCCCUUUUGUUGGGAAAGAAAAGCAGCAGGUUAAUACCCCGCUGUUCUGACGGUACCCAAAGAAUAAGCACCGGCUAACUUCGU
Molecule: ribosomal RNA, 491 nt
Filed under: uncultured bacterium
Lineage: Bacteria
Description: partial 16S ribosomal RNA
Rfam family: Bacterial small subunit ribosomal RNA
Source: RNAcentral